AUCUCUGCCCAAAUAGUUUCCGUCAAAGUUUGUUGAUAUUUUGAAGGGCGCUAAGUUAAAAUUUUGCUGCAAGAAAACAAGAGUAUGUGACGGUGUAGAACUGUUUAAUUUGGUGGUCUUCAUGAUUAUGGAGACCGUUUAUACCACCACUGUGUUCCAUUCCAGUUGAGAAGCAUAAAGAGUGGUGAUGGUCAUCCGCUAUCUUAUUUAUGUGAUGAUAACUACACAACCUGGCCACCAACCACACAGAUCAACCACCAGUGGACCUAUGAAGAUAGCAAUAUAAGAAACUGUAGAGCAGUUCGAAGCAAAGAUUAGAGAUUAAGAAUAAUGGCCUUGCCAGUCUUUACCAUUAACCUUAACCACAAGAUUUUGCCUGGCCUUGUUACAAUUGGAAAGUAUGAUGGCACACAUGCAUGUCUCACUGCUGCCACAACAGCUGACCAGGUGCUUAUACACAGUCCACACCGAAGAGUUGGAUAUGAAACUGGACGCAUGGUCUCACAUGAGAGAAGUAAGGAAUUGGUACUUCUUAACAUCAACCAGCCAGUAACAGCCAUAUGUGCAGGACGCCUGGAUCCGAGCAAGGACUGUGAUAUAUUACUUGUAGGAACCGCUACUAAUCUUCUAGCAUAUGAUGUGGAGAGAAAUAUGGAUCUUUUCUAUAAAGAGGUGAUGGAUGGAGUGUCUGCCAUUACAAUUGGGAGGCUAGGUCAUUGGAAGAAUCCUUUGGUCAUUGUUGGUGGUAACUGCUCUAUUCAGGGAUUUGACUAUGAAGGUAAUGAGCAGUUUUGGACAGUCACGGGAGACACAGUCACCUCGCUUGCUUUAUUGGACUUUGAUGGUGAUGGUGAUAAUGAGUUAAUUGUUGGCUCUCGAGAUUUUGAUAUCCGUGUCUUCAAGGAGGACAAUAUAAUAAGUGAACAUGCAGAACUUGAAGCAGUAACUGUGCUGACCCCUCUUAAUGGAAGUGGAUUUGGCUAUGGAUUGGGUAAUGGCACUGUUGGUGUAUAUCAGAAACUUCAGAGGGUUUGGAGAGUUAAGUCAAAAAGUCGUGCUGUUAUCAUCUAUAGCUUUGAUGUGGAUGGUGAUGGUAUGGAAGAACUGAUAACUGGUUGGACAAAUGGGAAGGUGGAUGCCAGAAAUAGCAGAACAGGUGAAGUCAUCUUCAAGGAUACAUUGCCUCAUUCUAUAGCAGGGAUUGUAGAAGGUGAUUAUCGACUUGUUGGAAAGAAUGACCUCCUUGUUUGCACUGUUGAGGGAGAAGUGAGGGGCUACAAACAGGCAAAAAUGAUGGGAACAAGACCUGAUGUGAAUGUGGAACAGGAGACAGUCAGGGAAUUGUUAUCAAGGAAGCAGGCAUUGCUUACAGAGCUUCGUAUGUAUGAAAGUAAUGCACAGCUCUCUGGCAUUGCACAUAGUGAUUAUGCUGAAAGUAUUGCUCAACAAUUGCAGCAGCAAGCUGGUGUAAUACCUGCCAAGACUCGACUGCAGACUGGAAUCUCCAUUAAUAUGGGAAAUGAAAAGAAACCGGGUCACAUUGAAGUCGCUCUUGCAACAAACAAUGAAACUGUAAUAAGAGUUGUAAUGGUAUUCGCUGAGGGCAUAUUUGAAGGUGAGACACAUGUUAUCCACUUAAAAGAAUCAGAAAUAUCAUCUAAUGUGAAUGUUGCACUCUAUCCUCCAAAGGAUGUGCCAGUAGACAUUCACAUAAAGGCCUUGGUGGGUUAUCGUGGAAGCCAGCAUUACCAUGUUUUUGAGCUUACAAGGCAGCUACCACGUUUUGCUAUGUAUGCUUUAUGCGAGGAGCCGGGUAAUUUACCCUCCAGCUAUGUGUCAUUCUCUUUAAACGAAAGAGUGCAGAGGAUUGCAAUGUGGAUUAAUCAGAAUUUCCUGGUUUUGUCAGAUAUUGAAGCAAACAAUGAACUGAAUGUGACAUUUCUUUCACUAAGAGACAACACGAGAGUAAAUAUAUCAAUGCAGCCAGAAAAUAAGUUUGUUAUUGCAACACACAGCAUGGCUGUUGCAGGUGAUAUCAUACAAUCUCUUGCUGCUUUUUUAAAUUUGGAUGAAUUGCAGGUAAAGGCAGAAUUUUCUGAAGAAGAACAACGAAUUGCUGUUUUGCUUCAGCAAGUAAGUGAUCUUCAAGAAACCAGGCUUCGUUUGGCAGCAGAAAUGGCAGACCAUUCUGGACUUGUUCGUAGCUUGGUGAUGCGUGCAGAAAAUGCCCGGCACUUGGGAGAUGUUAAGGAUGUUCGGAGAUGGUAUGCAGAACUGAAUUACAUUAGCACUGACUUGGUACGGGGCUAUAACAUACGCUGCACGAAUCAUCAAGAACUUGUAGAAGCUCUGAAACAAGUCAAUCUCAUAAUUGAAAAGGCAGCUAAGCUAAGAGUUGGCAGGUUUAAAGUCUCAGUCAUCAAUGCUUGUCGUAUGGCACUGAAAAAUAACAAUGUCGGUCUGCUUGUAAAAGCGAUAAGAAUAGGAGAAGUAUGAUUACAAUAUACCUUGAAUCAGACACAUAUAAGCUCACAAAUAGGCAUCUAGAGGGCAGGAGUUUCCUAGGAGGGAGGAAGCAUAACGGCACAUGCCACAGCUGCAGCCAAGUACCAUAUUGAGGACAUUAGUAGCCAUCUCACCUGCCGGCGCAACAUCCAGCAGGAGCCAAGCACUUCCACAGUUCCACCCACUGCCAUGUGGCAACAGCUGGGCUUACGUCACUGGCCGCGGUCCAAUAUGCUUUCAUGUGACAUAGAUUUGAGUGCCAAAACAGUGACUACAUAAUGGUGUAUUCAGCUGUUAAGAGGUUUUGUUUAUGCUCUCUUGCACAUGUUGAAACACAAUGUUAAACAAAUAUCCUGAAAACCACUACCUGUUUGAUAUCUUAUUUUUUGUAAGAAGGAAAGACAAAUAAAAGAAGAUAAGGAGCUGGAAUAACACAUUUCUAACACAAUGACCACAUUGCCUUUGAAGUUUGUCUGUGCUUAAAAAUAUCCAUGUCAUCUCUUAAAUAUACCCUGUCCUCACUGUGCUGACUUUUACUGUCAUGUAAUUGAGAUCACAGUUUUGUUACUCUUAUUCAUACUUAUGUGCUGUGUAAACUUGUGUGUGUUACUUAUA
RNA transcript from Schistocerca nitens (vagrant locust), 3120 nucleotides. It is a transcript of the gene named Bardet-Biedl syndrome 2 protein homolog, with no coding region annotated. Lineage: Eukaryota; Metazoa; Arthropoda; Insecta; Orthoptera; Acrididae. The transcript has 18 exons. The record is from RefSeq and is a predicted model, not a curated record.